This 467-nucleotide ribosomal RNA is filed under the name uncultured bacterium. RNAcentral describes it as "partial 16S ribosomal RNA". It matches the Rfam family "Bacterial small subunit ribosomal RNA", at positions 28 to 507 of the family's 1533-position model. The record is from RNAcentral.
GACGAACGCUGGCGGCGUGCUUAACGCAUGCCAGUCGAACGGAAAGGCCUCUUUCGGGGGGUACUCGAGUGGCGAACGGGUGAGUAACACGUGAGUAACCUGCCCUUGACUUUGGGAUAACUUCAGGAAACUGGGGCUAAUACCGGAUAGGAGCUCCUGCUGCAUGGUGGGGGUUGGAAAGUUUCGGCGGUUGGGGAUGGACUCGCGGCUUAUCAGCUUGUUGGUGGGGUAGUGGCUUACCAAGGCUUUGACGGGUAGCCGGCCUGAGAGGGUGACCGGCCACAUUGGGACUGAGAUACGGCCCAGACUCCUACGGGAGGCAGCAGUGGGGAAUAUUGCACAAUGGGUGGAAGCCUGAUGCAGCAACGCCGUGUGCGGGAUGACGGCCUUCGGGUUGUAAACCGCUUUCGCUCAUGACGAAGCUUUGUGUGACGGUAGUGGGUAAAGAAGCACCGGCUAACUACGUG